GUCAGGACGAACGCUGGCGGCGUGCCUAAUACAUGCAAGUCGAACGGUCUUUCUAUGGAAGCUUGCUUCCACUGAAAAGAUAGUGGCGAACGGGUGAGUAACACGUGGGUAACCUGCCCAUAAGAGGGGGGAUAACAUCCGGAAACGGGUGCUAAUACCGCAUAGUUUUCUUGAUCGCAUGAUCGGGAAAGGAAAGACGGCCUUUGUGCUGUCGCUUAUGGAUGGACCCGCGGCGUAUUAGUUAGUUGGUGAGGUAACGGCUCACCAAGACGAUGAUACGUAGCCGACCUGAGAGGGUGAUCGGCCACAUUGGGACUGAGACACGGCCCAAACUCCUACGGGAGGCAGCAGUAGGGAAUCUUCCGCAAUGGACGAAAGUCUGACGGAGCAACGCCGCGUGAGUGAAAGAAGGUUUUCGGAUCGUAAAACUCUGUUGUCAGAGAAGAACAAGUUGGAGAGUAACUGCUCCAGCCUUGACGGUAUCUGACCAGAAAGCCACGGCUAACUAGGUGCCAGCCGCCGC
This 523-nucleotide ribosomal RNA is filed under the name uncultured bacterium. RNAcentral's name for it is "bacterial SSU rRNA". It matches the Rfam family "Bacterial small subunit ribosomal RNA", at positions 23 to 518 of the family's 1533-position model. The record is from RNAcentral.